AGAGUUUGAUCAUGGCUCAGGACGAACGCUGGCGGCGCGCCUAACACAUGCAAGUCGAACGAGAGAGAGGGAGCUUGCUUCCUCGAUCGAGUGGCGAACGGGUGAGUAACGCGUGAGGAACCUGCCUCAAAGAGGGGGACAACAGUUGGAAACGACUGCUAAUACCGCAUAAGCCCACGGCUCGGCAUCGAGCAGAGGGAAAAGGAGCAAUCCGCUUUGAGAUGGCCUCGCGUCCGAUUAGCUAGUUGGUGAGGUAACGGCCCACCAAGGCGACGAUCAGUAGGGGUUCUGAGAGGAAGGUCCCCCACAUUGGAACUGAGACACGGUCCAAACUCCUACGGGAGGCAGCA
Molecule: ribosomal RNA, 350 nt
Filed under: uncultured bacterium
Lineage: Bacteria
Description: bacterial SSU rRNA
Rfam family: Bacterial small subunit ribosomal RNA
Source: RNAcentral